This 66-nucleotide transfer RNA is filed under the name Melanophila acuminata. RNAcentral describes it as "tRNA-Gly". It matches the Rfam family "tRNA". From Rfam's summary of the family: Transfer RNA (tRNA) molecules are approximately 80 nucleotides in length. Lineage: Eukaryota; Metazoa; Arthropoda; Insecta; Coleoptera; Buprestidae. The record is from RNAcentral.
AUUUAUAUAGUAUAAAAUUAUAUUUGACUUCCAAUCAAAAGAUCUGAUCACUCAUCAGUAUAAAUA